GUGCUCUAAACCAAGAGGGGGGAGGAGGGGAACUGGUUUAAAACAUCGUAAUCUGGUUUUAAAGGUUGGUUAAAUAUUAAUUAAAUGUGCAGGUUUUGAAGUAGGAUUGCAAAUCAUCACGACAAUGAGGAGUAAAGAAAAAACAGGUGAUAGUGAAAGCAGACAGAAGAGACAGAAACACAAGGUGCAAUCUAUCAACUUUCAGUUUUCAGUGUCUAUAACUCAACAUGUUGUCUGCUCUGCCUCUGGAUUAAUUUAUUUCUAUUAUAACAGGCAAGAAUGUUUUUGUUGGGGUUUUUUUUGGUCCCACAGUUAUGAGGGAUACUUUUUAAAGUGUAAGGAUAGGCUACACCAAAAUAAGAAGGUAAUACCUUUAUCUCCCUUUACCUUUUCCUUAUCUUUCUUUAUACCUUUACCUUCCUCUGAAGGUAAUACCUUUAUCACCAAGAUACCACUUUCACAGUUGCCAGCAUUUACUUUAUGCUAUCAUUUAAAAGUUCCAUUUUAGAGGAGUUUUUUAAAAAACACCAAAACCCACUUAUUUAAGUAUAAACAUUUCCUCCCCCCUAACUCAACUAUAUUCUUAAACUACAUUACAUCACAGAGUUAGAGAAUCCCAUUUUCCUCAACUUGGAAACUGCACACUUUUUUCUUCUUUUUAUAGCAACAACGCCAGCUUUACUACCAAGGUUAAGAAACCCUCUCUGCCUAAGUGUUGACUUAGUUCUUCUAACAUCCAUGCAAUUACUAGAAAUGUCAUGAAGUUUGGUAUUGCAACCUCAUACUGGAACAGAGGCAUUCACCACAACCAUAAAACAAAAACAUCUGUCCCCAGUCUACUUCCAGUUCUCCGAGCUGACAGAUUCUAUCAACUUUCUUCUGUGCUGACCAGGUUAUUCUUUGUACAUCCUCCAAAGGAUCUGGGUUGCAUCACAUUUACCUUCAGCAUAACUUGGCACAUUUUGGGGAAAAGGACAACAAAAAGCUGUCUGCAAACAUGUAUGUCUCACCUGCACACACCAAACAGAUUUGUGAGUGGGAGAUGCCAGGGACUUUCUAGUUUAUUACUGCUUAUGGUGUGUGGAUCCAGGAGAAACAUACUGACCUACAUUCCAAUGUGGAUUAGAAAAAUAAUCCAAAUGUAAAUGGUUAAUCAAGACAGUGGGGUUGUUUUUUUUUUAUGAUUAUGGAGAUAUUGAGAAGGGGGAGUAACCGAAGGACUCUCGGAGCAGUGUAGUUGUUAACCAUAGCGUUUAUUUAGUCUCUUUAUCCGUGAGCAAGCCUUGGAAGGCUGAAGUGCUCCAGAAUCUUCCCUUCAAAAUAUUGGUGCCCCAUGGAUUAGCAGCCUCAGCAGUGUAUCUCAUGGCAAGCGCCUAAAGUGAGGUCCAAAGGUUAGUUGAGUCCAGUAAGAGUCUCCAUCACCCUGCAAGCCAUCAGAUCUAUGCAGUUUUCCCCAAACCAACACUAGAUUAUUUCUGUGGGCAUGUGGCAAGGGACAGCACAAUGUAGAGGAGAGCACAAUGUACCUGCCAGCUCUUCUGUGGACACGUCCUCCUCCUUGACAUCUGGAAACCUACCUACCCUUUUAAGAAUUAUCACCUGUGAAAACACAUGUGAAGGAACCCUGAUGCCUGUCAAACUAUUUUACUACUACUUCAACAGCUCAAAAACGUCACAGGACAUGUUGCCAGCCCACUGAAAGCAACUAUUAACCACCUUGUUUGGGCUGUGAACUGAUGUACAAGUCUUGCAGACACCAUUUAGAGUGCCACAGGCCAUAAGGACCUUGGGGAAGAAAUGCAGACCCACAACUGAAGCACUUUUCUGUUCCGAGGAAAGCUGUGCUGUAAGUAAAGCCAUAGUUGUUUAAGAAAUCUUGGAGUACCUGAAGUAGUGCUGGGAAUGUCAACAAAACACACUGUGGCUGUGCAAGUCCUGUUCCAUUUUUAGCACUUUUAUUUCUGUGACCCUUUAUAAUAAAGCCUGAGGCACAGUAGCCAGAGGGAGAGUUCUCAGAGAGUAAAACCUCUGUUUAAGACCAACCAACAUAUCUAAGGCUUCGUUAAUGAUACUUCAUUCACAGAAGAGGAAAUAGAGCAAAAAGUGUGUGCUAUGUCAGCACAAGCAAAGAGUGACCAGCCAGGUUUACACCUGCCUGAGAGUUGUCAGCUGGAGGCAAAGAGCCUCUGCCCCAAAACAGGCAAUCCUGGCUAAUCCAGAAAGCCUUCUUGCUGCAAUAUUUGCUUGUGAGAUGCCAUGUCCACCUGACUGACCUAGUCUCUGGAUCAGCUUGAGAAGGCAAAAUGACUCAUGGCUGUCUCUAGAUAGUACUGGAACAGCUCGUUAAAGAAACCAGAGUCCUCUCCAAAGGUAGCCAAAGUACUCACAGCUGUCAUGUUGAUCACUGCACUCCUACUUGCAACAUGCAAAGUCAGGAAAGCUUCUUGGGAAAGUUGUGCACACUCUGAGGAGCAUUAGCCACUCUCAGCACUUGCAAGCUCUCUUCACACCAGAGAAUGACCAGUCCUCUCUGUUAGAAAACAUCUGCGUUUAACUCAUCUGUGUCAGUAGCAGUUCAGAAAUCCUGGAGAAACUCAGUCCACGAGCUAAUGCCUGCUGAAACUUGAAAUAAACCUCUUCUGGAAGAAAAGCUAGUGAUUUCUAGGAUGUAAGGAUCAAUGAUGCUGAACUGAGAGACUGAAGACAUCUCUUGGGGGGGAGGAGACCAGAGUAUGAGCAGCAACAGGCCCGUAACCUUAGCAAAACCAGAUUACGGCUGUCAGGGCCUGUGAGACUGGUCUCCUCAACCUCUUUCCCAUGACGAAAAUGGGAAGCCGAUCCAGACCUCAACCUUAUUAAGGUGGCAGCAACAACCAAGGAUGUUAAUCUUGACUGACUGGAGAAUGAAGAUGAAAUUUUAUUUUCACCUGCACACAAGCCAAGAGGAUUAGGUCGUAGAGGACCAGUCCAAAAAUGCUAUGAAGUGGAGAGGACAGACCAUACAUGGCAGGUCAGAGCCAGGAACAGAUCUGGCUGGUUACCAGCAGCAAUCAUAAGCAGCUGGAGGACGUGCUCCAUGUGUGUGCUACCAAACUGUUUCUGAAGUCUAGCUCACUCAGAGACUUGCCAGGUCUGAACAAGUUAGAUUGGCCAGGGUGCACUUUGUUCAUCACGGAACACUCUUGAUCUCCUCCUCAGCAGCAUCCAUGUGCCCGUGUAGAGGCUGAAAUACUGAAAGCAGGGAAGUUCCUCGCCUCAAACAUUAAAUCCUUCUUUGUAAGCUGCAGAAACAGAAUUACACUGGGGAAAAAAAAAUACAUACCUACAGGCUCAGCUGGGAUUCGAAAGAGUAUUUAAAUUAUUUCACAAACCUAAUUACAUAGUCAUCAUGUGGCUCCCUCAGUAUAGAUAAAAAGAAUGUUACUGAGUGCAGUAAAAGCUCUUCCAGUUGUAUUUUACCAAUUUUCACAUAAUAAGGACUACGAACAUGAGCCUACAAUGCGCACUUGCAGCCCAGAGAGCCAACUGUGUCCUGGGCUGCAUCUAAAGAAGCGUGACCAAGCAGGGCAAGAGAGGGUGAUCCUGCCCCUAUGCUCGGCUCUCGUGAAACCCCAGCUGGAGUACUGUGUUCAGUUUGGAGCCUCCAACAUAAGAAAGACAUGGAGCUCCUAAAGUGAGUCCAGAGGAGGGCCCAAACAUGAUCAGAGGGCUGGAGCACCUCUGCUAUGAAGACAGGCUGCGACAGUUGGGGCUGUUCAGCCUGGAGAACAGAAGGCUCUGGGGAGACCUUAUAGUGGCCUUCCAGUACCUGAAGGGGGCCUAUAGGAAAGCUCGGGAGGAACUUUUUAGAAGGGCUUGUAGUGAGAGGACAAGGGCUAAUGGAUCAAAACUUAAAGAAGGGAAAUUAAGACUAGACAUUAGGAGGAAAUUAUUCACUAUGUGUGGUGAGACACUUAAAAAAAGUACUUUAGAAAGGUAGUUGCCUAUCCAGUAGCGAUGCCAUUUUAUGCCAAUCAGAACUUAAAAAAAAACAUGAAUAAAUUAAAAUCUUCCUAGAGUACCUACAGAGGUAGAUGCCACUUUACUGGGUUUCUAGCUCUCCUCCACUUAGAUGGUAUUGGAGAGGAGCGGAAGUGCAGAGCAGACGCCAUCCCCUGUGUUACCACGCAGCUUAAGUCAGAAACCCUUAACUACAACAUAGAUUUUGUUUCAUCAGUUGCCAAAAGAUUAUCUAGUUUCCCUCCCUCUCUGGCCAACAUCCUGUCAUCAUCUGAAACAAUUAAGCUCACUUGAUCAUCUGAGCUUGCAGUUCAGAGCUCUGAGGGUAUCAGCUAAACGUAAAGCAAAAAGUAUAAAUGUAGCUCUAGAUUAAUAAUCAUUGCAAACUUCUCUGAAGAAGUGGCUCCAAUGCCAGAAACUGCUGAUACGAAGAACUACAGCAGUGCCAGUAGUGCACUCUUACUUUGGCAGCUGAAACGUUAAAAGUCAAUUCACAGGAGGAAAGGGAAGACACUCAUUAAGAUAAUAAUGGGGAAGUUCAAGGUCUGGCAGCUGGGCUCACAGUAGGCUGGGGUGAGAAAGGAAUGCUUUAUAUCCCACCACACCCCACCUCCUCCCGGAUCUGCAGCCGCCCUCCCAGGGCCAGUGGCUCAAGCUCGCCGGAUCCCGCGGCUGGUGCUGCUUUUCCUGGCACUCACCCAGAACUGCAUCAAGCAAGUCCGGCACCCUGGACUCGGUGGUGAUCCCUGCAUGAACACACGUUGAAAUUAAAAUCAGAACUGUGCUACGUGAAGUGACAAGGGGUAUUUGUAGGCAGAGCCCUAGCAAAUUCGGGGAUUGAUUCCAGAAGACAGCACAGAGACUACUGCUGCCUUACCAAAAUCUACCUCUCCUUAGCCUCUCUCCCUUUACAGGCAACGCAACAGGCUGCUGCCAGCACACCAUGUUGGAGUGAGCAUGCAAGGAGCCACAGGAGAACCACAAAAUGGAGGAGGCACAGCACUGUAAAGAAAACACAAAGCAUCUGUUCCAGCUCACAGGAAUAUUAUUUCGAAUCCUUGAAUGUCACAGCCUUGAAGACAACUGCUUAGUGAGUCACAUUAAGGACACCUCCAUUUACAAGAUCUACCCUUAAGCCUAACAGCAUGUCUGGAGAGAAGGAAAGGGUAUAGUGAUGGUCUUUGGUUUCCUCUACUGCAGGCUAAGCUUGUAUUUACUGCAACUGAGCAUGCACACAUACACACACUCACCCUCUUUCAGUGGUUCUUCUAACAUAUCCUAGCUUGUAAAACCACAGCGGGACUGAACUUUUCAUGGUCAGAACCUGUCAGACUCUAGCGACUUCCUAGGCUCCUUCUCCGUGUCCAUGCUCACAAUGCUCUUCAGCCCUUGACCUUCGAAGCCCUCCUCCUUUUGGUUACUGCUUCACCAAUUAACUAACUCAUCAAGAAUGUAUUAGAAACAAUGCCAUCCCAUGCCUCACACGACAUCCAGCACAACAGGUACAAUUCCCCAGUUGUCUUUGCUUCCAUCAUAAUGAACACCAACUGACUGAGGCCAACUAACAACUGUUCUUUCCAGCUUCUCCUGUUAUCAAUGCUCAAAUCAUCCAUGUUUUUAUAGACAAUUUUUAAUAUGACCUCUGAAAAAGCAGAGCACUACAAAGUCAUCUACAUUGUGACCAAGAAGAGGGACUCCUAAACAGGCUUACGUAUUUAGAUACUUAAAAGUAUGGGAUGUUGAAAGCCAUUUUCUACCUUUUCCAGUUCUUCACUGAUCACUAAGAUGAAGGAGGCAUAGCCAAUGAUUACAAGAACAGCUCUGACCUUUACUUCUUUUCUGCCUACUGAAGUCUGAAAACCAGUGGCAUUUGGAAAAGAAGAAGCAAGCACAGAAAAGCACAAAAGAUGCAUUGAGAAGGCUCCUGGAAAAGACAAGAAGAAACAGAAGGAAUUUAGACAUUAUGCUCGUUACCUUUGUCGCUAGAGUAAGGUGCGUGGACAUUGUUGCUUGGAACAGAGACAUUCUGAUGCUGUGGCUGGUUCACUGUUUCUAAAAAGGAAACGAGGUUCUCGUGGUGCGACAGUUCUUCUGCCACAGGGAAGGAAACGAUAUUCCAGUUCAGCUGAGUAUCCCCUUCUGUCAGUGCCCGGAAAAGGGAAGGAAUUGGUUCAUGCAACUCCUCGACAGUACUCUUGGAUGUUGGAGGUGUGUCGCUGUAAUUGCGAGGAUUGCACAUACCUGCAGAGGAAUGAAACAAUAAGUUACACUACACUCCCUAAACUACUCUUCUUGAAACAAGCAGGACUAUCUAGAAAAUUAAAACGGUGUUGUUGUUUUUUUUUCCUUUUUUAAAUAUUUUUUUUUGUGCUAAGCACAACAGAGCCCUCAUGUACCUAUCCCACUCUUCACUCAAGGGCAAAAGCACCAGGGACAAGCUUUCCAUAAUGGUAAGUUUCUGAUCUCUAUGCUGACUUCAACAAAAGGCACCUGCAACUUUUGAGAUCCAAAUCAAAAGAAAAAAAAAAUCUACUUGGCACUUUCCUUCCCUUUUUAUGCUAUCAUUAGAGUUUAGAAUAUGAAGAGUUCAACAAAAGGUUUGUUUCCCCUGGGCAAAGAGACAAAGCACAGUAUAAUCCAUACUAGCAUUCACCUGGAUUGGAAGUUUACCACCGAAGGCAGAUAGUAUCUUGACAAGUCCUGAGGUUCAUGAAACUUUUGCUCACAAUUCAAGUAUCUGAUCUCAUCCACUGCAGCAGUGCACUAGAGCUUAUCAGCUGUCUGCCGGACGUGCAAAGAUAAGUAUCAGGAGGGAGCAAGAGUCUGAAUUACUUUACCUACUCAGAGACAGUUGAGAUGAACGUUUGUUACUUAGUUGGAGGGGUCACUACAGGCAAAAUGCUUAUUUCCAGGUUACCUCUUCUUUGUUUUUCCCCCUCUUUUAUGCUAUGUGUUUUGAAACCUUAUAAAUCUCUUUGCCACUUCCUACAAAAUGCUCUUCUGAUGUGCAAUGCAGGCGCAGAUUUUUCAUUAGCCAUUUAAACACUCCCAUUUAUUACCAGCCAUGAAACUGCAAGGUACUUUGAUUUAAUCCAAAUAUUGAAACAACCAAGAUAAAAGAAAAGUUGUACCUGCAUAGGUAUUUAAACUCAGAAGCCCUAAAAUACUAUUAGAAGUCACCUGGCCAGAGACAGACAGAUCCCUUUUCCUCAUGUACAUCUGGAUAUCCCUUUGGGUAUUUUCACAGAUGGUGUUUCAGACAGCUACAGCUGCAAAGCACACCAAUCCUUAAAGUCCCUUCUAUCAAAGUGGUAUGGGACACAAAUGUCCAAAGUGCAUCUGCCCCACUUAACCAGGAAAGCAUUUCCUGCCCUGCAGAUACAUCAGGACUCCUGCUUUAGAAAACGUGUUUAACUAGAGCCUUAAACAAACCCACAAUCUUUUCAAUCUAAGUAGAUGGGUUUCCAUAAUGAACAAAACAGAGUGAAGUUCAUCCACGAUGAUUAACAUGCAAUCUGGCAAGUCUUAAGCAAGCAGUUAGCAUUACCAGUAUUUAAUAAAAGGAGUAACACGAGACAGUAUACUCCUAUUAAAAAGGUAACCCAAAUAUCGGGUAGAAAAAAAUAAGCCUCUCCUCCAAACAAGAUCAGGUCACACUAAAAAAUAAUUCCACUUACACAAACUUCCUACCAUAAACUAUUAUUUUCCAAGUCCUCUCAGCUAUGUUUGUUCUUUACAGACAGUCCUGGGCUCAGUGCUUUAAUAAAAAAUGUCUGUCUUUGCAUUAUCUUUUAGUAAGCACUUUGAAUAUUCACCCUACCACCGUAAUAAAGGAUGUGCACUUAAAAUUCAAUUAGGAAGAUAUCAGACCAGGUUAAGAAUUUUGUACAGAGACACUGAGAGAUGUAUACUUCAAUUAUUGUAUUGAUGUUGUGAAAUUAAAACCAGUAAGCCUUUUUAGAGCCUCUCUGCAAGGCUGCAUUCACAAAACAGAUUUCCCUGGAGAAUAUAUAUAAAAAAAAAUACCAUCAACAUUGUUUAUAAAAUGAUUCCAAAAUAUGCAGAGUUUGUGUGCAUAUAAAUCUAAUAUGAAAAUAUUGUCUUAAGAUGGUACUAAGAAAUCAUUGCUCAUAGUUUAAUGGGUAACUGCUCAUUCCAAAGAUCCUUCCCUCUUACUAUUUUUAAAGUAUUUUAACUACAAAAUUUAUAUAUAAUAGUAAUAAUUAAAAUACAGUAGCUUUGGUUAAAAUAAAAACAUUUAACUUAUGAGCAACUGGUAAGGAAGAAAUACAUAUACAUUACUGCUUUGGAAUAGAUGAGAAGAUGCAGAAAUUGGCUAUUGAAAGGACAGAACUGGAAAAGCCUUUACAUGAGGGUCUACAAGAGCCUAACCCACAAAGUGUAGAAAAGUAGAGGGAAUAGGGACCUGUUUUUGUUCUCCCUCCUCCAGUGUCUCUGUCCUACUAAGGAAGGGAGAGAACAUCCACGCAAAACACAGGGCAUCAACUGACUAGAGGUCAACCUAAUGGUGGAGGGUAAGAAGGUAAUUCCUGGCCUCCAAGUAGAAGUGCCCUGAAAGACAUGACAACCUAUCUGCUUUUACAUUACUUGAUCCAUUUACAAAGAGACUUAAAUAUCAGCUCAAGUAUUAGCAAAGAACCAUCUCUGGGAAGCUGGGUAUGACAUACACUCCUGUUUGCUCAUUUAAAUAAGGCUACAGCAAGAUGAUGGGAAUGAAGAAGAACUACUUCUGAACAGGACCAGACCAUAGAACCAACAAGGUCUAAGGCUCCCACAGAACCACCAGGAGAUGGUUUAGUUUGCUCAGUACUGGAAAACUGAUCCAAAGACAUUUUUUACUUCUCUCCUGGAUAACACCAUGGGAAACAGCAGCAGAACAGUGGAUAAUCUACAGAUUUAGGAAAAAAUGUGUGUGGACUUAGCUUUAUUUUUUUCCCCCCCUCACAAUCCCAAGAGGCAGGUUCUUUGUUUCCCUAGAGGAUAUAAGCACAGUACACUUUGCUUUCUACAGCAGAUAAUGGUUCUGAACUAGGGAAAAAACCUACUAUCCUGUUCCCCAUCCUUAUGACUGAAAAUGACAACAGUGCAUUUUAGCACAUUACAAAAAUCAAGGGCAAAGGAGUAGGGAAAAAAUAACAUACAUACAUACAUAUAUAUAUAUAUAAAAAUUUUCAAGGACUGCACUAAAAGAUUUCAGAUCAAGCAGUGGAAAAAAAAAUAGAUCAAGCUCUAAGGCCUAUUUCUAAAUGUAUAUCUUACACAGGGGCUGAAAACACUUUCUGCCUUUGGGAAGAAUAACACACAUGCUGGACCAUGCCACUUCACUGCUUACUGAAAGACAGUAAAGCAAAGGUAAGCUAGCCAGAACACACACACACAAAAAGCAGGAUAUAAGCAUUUUGCCUGUAGUGACCCCUCCAACUAAUAAAGCAUAUUCACAUCAUGAUGGAACAGGAGGAGCAACGGACUGCACUGAAAAGGAGCAUUUUGAAGCUAUAUAAUCUUCAUUAAUUCAGAGAAGCCCCAGUCAGCCAGAGAAGCUGCAAGCAGGUACACCACUCAAGACACAUCCCUUUCAUGGAAGCCAGGUGGAUUUUCAAUGGCAGCAGCAGGAGGCUUCCAGCAACCACAGGAGGAUGAAACUUUCAAUACAUUUUAAACUAGAAAUGGAACUAGGAUAUGUCCUCUGUAAACAGGGGCAGCAUUCACAUGCAGAGAUCUGGAAUCUCUGAGCACUACCUGUUAGUAGUAAUGCUGCUCUUGUUAAGACUGUCAUCUAAUCCUACAGUAAGAGCUUGUAUGCCUCUUUCUUAACCCUUCACAGAGAGCUCUUUGUUCAAGUAAAAGAACGAGGAAAAUGCUGGGCCAUGCACUUUACUACUAGUGCCAAGGAUUCAAAGGGAACUCAGAAUUGUCCCUGUGCUCUAUCUGUCCAUCACUUUCCAGUUAGAAACCUCCAUACAGCAUCCAACCCUAUGAAGCAGGUGCUGCAUAGUUUCCUCAAGAUGACAAUUCGAAAAGGAGUUUUUUGUUUUAGAGACAAAAUUAAGUCAGUUAUGAUGACAUUAACCAAGUAAAAUCUGGACUACAGCCACUCCCCACUCCAUAGAGCAGAUACAACUUCCAAAUAUUUGUUUCCCCACAGUAGUUUAUUCAAUGCCCACAGAACGAGCCGUAAGAUGUUUCCAGCACAGAUUAUGUCCAGCAUUUUACUUCUAUAAUAAGACCAUGAGCUCAGCAUGUGGCAGGAGGAAGCAAUUUAAAAAAAGAAGAAAAACCCAAAGAAUACAAACUUACCAACACAGUCACAGCACUCAUCCCAAAGUGUGCCCAGGCAGAGCAUGCACUCCUUACAGCAGGAGCAGUUCCCUUCCCCGGGGCGGCACUGACACAGCUCCUGAAAACAACAUAAACUCAUUACACCUCAGCAACCCCAGAUGUAAAAUGCUACCAGGGCAGAGCAGUUCUGCCUCAAGCCACAACUCAAACUGCAGCAUUAAAAAAAGCUUGGUACACUAAUACAGUGAGUAAGUGAUAAAACAGUUCCAGCCAAAGAACCAAACUUAAGUUUGCAAAAGGAUCUUUUGCAAGCUUUUUUUUUAAAGGUAAAACUCUAAAGACAAAUCUGAAGUCAAGAAGCAUUUAAAAGAGAGAAAGUGUUAUUCAUGGGAAAGGUGUGUGCACUUCUAUGUAUACCUGAAUAUAAAAGUUCUUUGAAGGUCUUUCCCAUCACAACAGGAAGUUCAAAUAAGGAUGUUUCUUUAUAUAUAAAUAGUGUGCGUAUGUUAUAAUUUAGCUAAAAAAGGAAGUUACUAUAAGCAGCAUGUGCAUACUCAAGAAGAUACACAUAGACCAUCACACCUAUUCAAGGAUUUUAAAAGGAACUUACUCCAUUAAGUCACCUGACCACAGGAUGUUGUACAUCUCUGAAUUGUUACACAUCGCUUUCUCCAUUUGCAAUAUUAGUGACCAGAUCAUUCCCCCUGCUGCCCCACCCCUGCCCCCAGUCCAGGCGAUUCAUUUUUGCUAUAAUAAAAACAACCCUCCGCCUCCUCCCUGCCCCCCACUCAACACCUUGGAAUACUUCCAAGACUUCUGGAGCCUCUAUAAAGUGAAGUGAUAUGCACACACAUUUUUCUUUAACCAGUAUGAAACAAAAAAGAUGGAAAAGACAUGGAAGCAAGAAGACAAUCCUUUCUCUUCAUGUUACCUAAACCUGAAGGCAUUGGUUUAGCAGUCCUGGUAGAGAUGUACACUUGUGGACCUCAAAGUAUGCCAAAGCCUACAUGGAUGAAGGAAAUCUAAAAAACAGGCAGCCUCCUUCCCUCUAGCUCAAAUCCAUACUAGUAAUUCCAGUUUGGCCAAAAGACUGUGGCUCCUUGACAAUAACAUAUGGGCUUGAAUUACACCACAGUGCAAAAUGCUGACAGCCAAGAAGUCACAUUUGGUUGUCCUGUCUAAGAAUUGAGUUUUGAUGACGUCUGUCUAACUAUCAUGUUAUGCACAACUGAUGAGAAACCAAAAUCCCAUUACUGGAAACACUGACAACGGGAUCCUUCCCACCCCUGGCUUUACUGGAAGAGCCAUUGGCAAAUCUCUGCUACACACCAGGCUGCAAAGAAGAUGACGCCCAUCCCGGCUCUUUGAUCCCACUCUCCAGAGGCAGGGGAGGGACACUCCAUGGUGUGGUUGGGAGACGCACUGGGACAGGAGGGAAGGGCAGGAAGAUGGUUUGGUGUGAAAUUCUCCUAACCUGGAGUCACUACCCAAGGUCCUACCACCCUUAGGUAACCACAGCUAUGUCAGGGACACCACUCCUUACAGGCAGACACAAACAUCACCUGCAAAGUCUUGCUGUAACAUAUUGGGAAGAAGCCGAGGGGCGAAAAUUCCACUUUUUAACUUAUUUGCUUGCUAUUAUUACGAAGCAUCAGGCAGGGGAGAAAGGAGGUAUUUUUAUACCCAGUGUCAGGAGCACAUUUGCUAGGCAAGCCAAGGCACAGAGAUGCACCUGAUGGUGUAGGACCUCUGUUCUCUAUUCUGCAACACUGGCAACUGCAAAUACCUGCAGCCAGUGGAGUUGCACGGGGAUCAUCCCGCUCUUGUGGGCUCACAGAAGAGCAAAGGGUGCACUUCAGAGGGCAAGAUCUGGCUGGGGAUGGGGCUUAAGAACCCAGUGGAUGUAGCUUCAGGGCUUCCCAUUCUGGACUAUAACUGAACAAACUCUCAAACCUGGUGCAGAUGUGCUAAAAUUUGAUAACGCAGUAAAAAUUAAUUGAUCUCUUAUUUUUCCAUUCACUUGAUCCCAGAUCACAAAUCUCCUUGAAGCCAGCAAAGAAACCAGGUUAACAAAUUAUUGUGUGUUCUACUUAAUGCUGAGAAAUGCAGCUGCUUGCACAGUUUAUCGUGAACUGUUUGCCCUGCUGCGUGGUUGAGCACGAACUCCUCUUCUACAUGCAUUUCUGCAAUAAGCAGUCUUAGUAAGUCUUAAAUUUUCAUUUACAGAGUGGAAAACUAUCAAGAUUUUUUUACUUUUCCUUCCUCAAAGUGUAUUCAUGUCACCUAUUACUACGCUGUUUCCAAGUGAAAAUGAAAAACAGGCUCAUUAAUAAAAUAUACAAUUUUUUCCACAAGAGGAGACACCACAAACUUAGUAAGAUGACUUAUGUGAAUAAAUGACUCAUUUCUAAAAUAUUUAUCUUACUGUUUGAUAAACAGAUUGUGUCAGCCUUGAGAAUAAAAAGUCUGAAUAAAACAGCUUUAAAAACAACCAUAAGCUAAGUACCGUUGCCUUGGCCAGAGAAUAGUAUUAAUACAUAUUAGCAUUAAACAUAGCCUAUAUAUUUGUUCUUCAACAGUAAAACUGGGCAAACAACUUCAUACUUACUAAAGAUAUUUCAACACUAACAAACCAGUAUGUGGGAGGAGGUGACUCUCCAUAAACCAUUAAAUGUAAUGUAUGAAUCAAAGCCAGAAAAUUCAAUAAGUUGUUUCAGUUUUGUAGAUUGCACUGUGUGAAUGUAAGAGAAGAGGAUUCUCACUGAACUAAACAUAACCUUCAAUUAUAACAUUUGCAACUUAAAAAAAAAUUCCUGCUUAGCUUUGGUAUGUGUAAGCACUAGCCUCAUUGUACCUACCAGUAUUUUAACAACUUUAUUUUUAUAGGAGGGGCCUAUGAGCAAUACAAUUUUUUACUUUA
Long non-coding RNA from Apus apus (common swift), 13219 nucleotides. RefSeq lists it as uncharacterized. Lineage: Eukaryota; Metazoa; Chordata; Aves; Apodiformes; Apodidae. The transcript has 2 exons. The record is from RefSeq and is a predicted model, not a curated record.